RNAcentral lists this long non-coding RNA (3148 nucleotides) under Homo sapiens (human). RNAcentral describes it as "LINC02892". Lineage: Eukaryota; Metazoa; Chordata; Mammalia; Primates; Hominidae. The record is from RNAcentral.
UACUCCACCAUCAAAUAUGGAAUUAAUUCCUUCUGUCUUACCAUAUGUUUGUACCCUUUAACCCAGUCCUCCUCUUCCUCUCUUUUCUCCCACACUCACCCUUCCCAGUCUCUGUUAUUUAUUUUUCCCCUCUUGACCUCCAUGUGAUCAAAUAUUUUAGUUCCCACAUACAAGUGAGAACACGCAAUAUUUAUUUCUUUGUGUUUGGAUUAUUUCACUUAAGAUAAUUCUCUCCAAUUCCAUCCAUGUUGCCACAAAUGACAUGUUUUCUUUCUUUUUAUGACUGAAUAGAAUUCCAUUACAUAUAUAUAUGACAUUUUCUUUAUUCAUUCAUUUGUUGAUGAAAACGGGUUGAUUCUAUAUAUUUGCUAUUGUGAAUAGUGCUGCAAUAAACAUUCCAAGUUUACAUAUAUCUUUUAUAUUUUGAUUUCUGUUCCUUUGGAUAGAUAGGAUGUGUACAUGAAAAAUCCAAAGAAAUUUAUAAUUAACAAGCAAAGUAAUUAGAUACAAGAUAGUAUACACGAAUCAGAUGUAUUUUGAAACAAUAGCAACAAUUAGAAAAUUAUUUUUUCAGACAGGAUCUUACUCUGUCACCCAGGCUGGAGUACAGUGGCACAAACUCACCGCAGCCUUGAACUCUUGGGCUCAAGCAGAGCCCUCCCACCUCAGCCUCCUCCCACCUCAGCCUCCUCCCAUCUCUGCCUCCCCAGUAAUUAGGAUUACAGUCAGGUACUACCACGCUUGGCUAAAUUUUUUUUUUUUGAGAUGGGGUCUCCCUGUGUUGCCCAGGCUGGUCUUGAACUCCUGGCCUCAAGUGAUCCUCCUGCCUCAACCUCCCAUAGUGCUGGGAUUACAGGAGUGAGCCACUGUACCUUGCCUGAAAAUUAAUUUUUAAAUGACAUCAUUUACAAUUGCAUUAAAAAUAUCAAACAGUUAGGAACUAGUGAAAUGUGUGAAAGAAAACUAUAAAACAUUGACAUAAAUUAAAGAAGAGUAUCUUCAAAUAAAUAAAGAGAUAUUCCAUGUUCAUGGGCUGAAAAUCUUUAUAUUGUAAAAUAUAAAUUAUUCCUCCACAUAAUCUAUAGAAUCUAAGCAAUCCCAUUCAACAUCCCAGCAGUUAUUUUUAUGGAAAUUAGCCAGUUGAUUCUAAAGUUUAUAUGGAAAUGCAAAAGGCUAAAAUAGCAAACACAAUUUCAAAGAAUAACGAAGUAAGAAUAUUUAGAAUACUAGAUAUCAAGACAGUAAUUCAAACAGUAUGAUAUGGACAUGAGAAUAAAUAAACAGACCAAUGAAAGAGAAUAGUGUUUAGUGGGCAUGCCUCUUUGGAAAACCACUUAGCAGAAUCAGUUAACACUGAACAUGUACACACCCUGCAGCCCCACAAAUCCCCUCUCUUCUAGGUACAGAAUAAUGCCCCCCCUCCGACACAAAUAUCUAGCUACAGUGUAAUUAGUAUGUCUCCAUACUAAUCCCCAGAAUCUAUGCAUACGUUACCGUACAUGGCAAAAAAUAAUUAAGGUUAUAGGUAGAAUUCAGUUGACCUGAUCAGCUGACCUUAAAAUAGAGAAAUGAUCUGGGAUUAUUCAAGUGGCUGCAAACCUAAUGAGAUGAGUCCAUAAAAAGGAAGGAAGAAGAGCCUGUGAGAAGGGUCUGACCUACCCUUGCUGGUUUUGAAGAUAGUCGAAGGGUCCUCAAACCAAGGCAUGCAGAUGGCUUCUAGAAGCUGGGAAUGGCCCUCAUCCAGCAGGAAAAUGGCAACCUCCGUCCUACAACCACAAGGAAUUGAAUUCUGCCCACAGCCCAAAUGUGCGGGAAGUGAUUCUCCCCUAGAACCUCCAGGAACAAACACAGCACUGCUGGCACCUUGAUUUUAGACCCUGCUGGACCUCUGGUCUGCAGAAUUGUAAAAAUAUAAAUUUGUGUUCUUUUAAGGCACAAAGUGUGUAGUAAUUUGUUAUAACAGCAAUUGAAAAUGAAUACAGCAGCAGAAUAAACAAAAAUCAUGACAUAUGUCACUGUAGGCCACCCCCUUGGUUCCUGAGCAAGUAUGCAUGUGUGCACAUACACAAGCACAUGCCUCUCCCCAUACCGAGAAUUCCAAAAUGACUGCACCUAUUAUAAUGCAAUGGUCCUUCUUUCAACCAUAAAAGCCUUCCUCCUCUUCCAAUGGGAGAUGGCCUAGAGUCAGAUCCACACAGGUCAUUCCACAAGUCGAGGAUCUGAGGAUGCCAUCAACCCCUCUGGGAAGGUAUAACUGCAGUUUCAUGAUCUUGCAACCUCUAGGUUCCAGACAAACGUAACUAUUACCAAGGUACCUAAUCUAAUCAAGGAGAGAAAACAAUUUGAGCCAAAAAAUUAAAGAGAGUCAGGUAUAGUAACCGUGGUCCAAACAACAUGUUGUAGCCCCCUGGGCAGUGCGGAAGGGAGACCCUUGGUCAGAUGGACACUUUGGCUGAUGCAGGUUCUAUCUGUGUGCAGGAUGUGGUUUCUGCUCCCUUUUAUUCUCUGUGGCCCUGCCAGAGAGGAGCCUGGUGAAGGGCUGUGGCCCAGGAUGGAGCAGCCAUGAAAGCCCACAUUCUGAGGGUGGGGGUGAGGAGCCUGAGCUGGCUCAGGGGACGGAACGGUCAUAGGCUCCUGCGUGCCAGGCCAGGGCACUGUGCUGCAUCAUUCUCCCCAACGCUGUGUGGAUGCCUAUCAAUUGAUUCUGGCUGUAAACAAACAUUUUCCUCUGAAUCUUGCCGUUCUUCCUGCCCUGUCUCCAGACCUUUAAUCCAUGACUUCUAUCCCUGCCUCCUCUCCGGCUCCAAGCAGUGGGAACAGAGAGCUGAGGUAGCACAAACACCCCCAGGAACUCUGCUCAGCCCCCAAGCCAUGAAGAAGUGAGAACUUGCACCAGGAGCAAACACAGCAAAAGGGGUUUGUGAGGGUGCAGGAUUCUCUGCUCCCCCAUCCUGAUUUCCAGAAUCCCAGUUUGAUGGUUCCCUGCCCAACUUUGUCAUGGGGAAAGGAAUUCAGAUUUACAGUUCAAAAAGAUGAUUGUGGGACUGUAAGUGGCCCUGGUCCCUGGCCUCGGGAAGGAGCACAUCUUUACAAUCUCAAUACACCUUUCCAGCUGGUGGCUGUCUGCUGUCAUAUUAGUAGUACUGAA